GGCCGUGUGGUGUAGUGGUAGCAUACUUGCUUUGGGAACUCCUCUCAUUGCUGUUGCAAGUGGUCCCAGGUUCGAGCCCUGGCUCGGCCC
Molecule: transfer RNA, 90 nt
Filed under: Cercophora samala
Lineage: Eukaryota; Fungi; Ascomycota; Sordariomycetes; Sordariales; Lasiosphaeriaceae
Rfam family: tRNA
About the family: Transfer RNA (tRNA) molecules are approximately 80 nucleotides in length.
Source: Rfam by way of RNAcentral